Molecule: ribosomal RNA, 747 nt
Filed under: Triticum aestivum (bread wheat)
Lineage: Eukaryota; Viridiplantae; Streptophyta; Magnoliopsida; Poales; Poaceae
Description: partial small subunit ribosomal RNA
Source: RNAcentral
AUGGCCACUUGCCUCUCUGACCUCAUUAGUGAUCAUUCCAUUGACUUCCUAGGUUUACAGGAGACUUUGAAGAAAGACUUCUCCCCUAAAAUUAUCAGGAGAUUUGACCCCUUUGGUAAUUUUCAUUGGGAAUGGGUGCCUGUUGUAGGUAGAUCUGGUGGGAUUUUAUGUGGUAUCCGCACCAACACCCUGGAGGUGUUGGGUUGCACCAAGGGGAGGUAUGUUUUGCAGUUAAACAUCAAAUAUUUUAAAACAAAAAAAGCCUGGAUUCUCUUUGUGGUUUAUGGCUCUGCUCAUGAGGAGCACAAGGAUGAUUUCUUGAGAGAAUUAGCAUCCUUUUGCAAUAGCACAGAUUUACUCUAUAUUGUGGGUGAAGACUUCAAUAUUCUUAGACAUAAUGGUGAAAAGAACAAGAAGAUGCAGCAUUCCAAAUCUUCUGAUUUGUUCAAUGCCAUCAUUAAUACUCUGGGCAGAGAAAUUUAUAUGAGUGGGGGCAAAUAUACCUGGACUAACAAUCAAUCUCAUCCUACGCUCGAGAAACUGGACAGGGUUCUGAUGUCAGACUCCUCAGAACAAUUGUUCUCCUUGGUUUCCAUGAGAAAGUUGGUCAGAGAGCUCUCUGACCAAAACCCACUCCUUUUGUAUACUGAUGAGGAAAAGAGAGAACCUUCCAAAGCUCGAGAGUUUCGCUUCGAUCUCUCCUGGCUAAAAGAUGAUAGGUUCCUCCACCUAGUUGCUAGAAUCUAG